AGAUUGAACGCUGGCGGCAGGCCUAACACAUGCAAGUCGAGCGGUAGAGAGGUGCUUGCACCUCUUGAGAGCGGCGGACGGGUGAGUAAUGCCUAGGAAUCUGCCUAGUGGUGGGGGAUAACGUUCGGAAACGGACGCUAAUACCGCAUACGUCCUACGGGAGAAAGCGGGGGACCUUCGGGCCUCGCGCCAUUAGAUGAGCCUAGGUCGGAUUAGCUAGUUGGUGAGGUAAUGGCUCACCAAGGCGACGAUCCGUAACUGGUCUGAGAGGAUGAUCAGUCACACUGGAACUGAGACACGGUCCAGACUCUGCGGGAGCAGCAGUGGGAAUAUUGGACAAU
This 341-nucleotide ribosomal RNA is filed under the name uncultured soil bacterium. RNAcentral's name for it is "bacterial SSU rRNA". It matches the Rfam family "Bacterial small subunit ribosomal RNA", at positions 26 to 372 of the family's 1533-position model. The record is from RNAcentral.